GCGUUGUUCGGAUUAUUGGCGUAAAGAGCGCGUAGGCGGGUAAUAAGUCNGAUGUGAAAGACCAGGGCUCAACCCUGAAAGUGCAUUUGAAACUGGGAUCUUGAGGACAGGAGAGGAAAGUGGAAUUCCUAGUGUAGCGGUGAAAUGCGUAGAUAUCAGGAGGAACACCAGUGGCGAAGGCGACUUUCUGGACUGACUGACGCUGAGGCGCGAAAGCGUGGGGAGCAAACAGGAUUAGAUACCCUGGUAGUCCACGCCGUAAACGAUGAGCGCUAGGUGUAGGGGUAUNGACCCCUUCCUGUGCCGCAGUUAACGCAAUAAGCACUCCGCCUGGGGAGUACG
Molecule: ribosomal RNA, 342 nt
Filed under: uncultured bacterium KH1-2-06
Lineage: Bacteria
Description: bacterial SSU rRNA
Rfam family: Bacterial small subunit ribosomal RNA
Source: RNAcentral